Molecule: unclassified non-coding RNA, 205 nt
Filed under: Hevea brasiliensis (rubber tree)
Lineage: Eukaryota; Viridiplantae; Streptophyta; Magnoliopsida; Malpighiales; Euphorbiaceae
Source: RNAcentral
GGAUUAUGGUAUGAUCUUAAUCUUUGGUUUAGUUGGGUUGCUUGAAUGGAAAAAAGGCAAUUAUUUUUGCCUUUUAAUGUUAUGAUAUAGCAUAAAGUCGUUGGCUUUUCAGCCUUUUCAGUUUUGUGCGAUCUGAAAUGGGUGGUGGGAUGUGUCGGAGUUGCUUUAGGUGUAUGGCUAGUGCUUGAAGAUAUCAAGAAAAAUA